Molecule: ribosomal RNA, 274 nt
Filed under: uncultured bacterium
Lineage: Bacteria
Description: partial 16S ribosomal RNA
Rfam family: Bacterial small subunit ribosomal RNA
Source: RNAcentral
AUACGGAGGGUGCAAGCGUUAAUCGGAAUUACUGGGCGUAAAGCGUACGUAGGCGGUUAUUUAAGUCAGAUGUGAAAGCCCCGGGCUUAACUUGGGAACUGCAUUUGAAACUGGGUAACUAGAGUUUAGUAGAGGGGAGUGGAAUUUCAGGUGUAGCGGUGAAAUGCGUAGAGAUCUGAAGGAGCACCAGUGGCGAAGGCGACUCCCUGGACUAAAACUGACGCUGAGGUGCGAAAGCGUGGGUAGCAAACAGGAUUAGAAACCCCAGUAGUCC